CUCUGUUGUUAGAGAAGAACAAGGAUGAGAGUAACUGUUCAUCCCUUGACGGUAUCUAACCAGAAAGCCACGGCUAACUACGUGCCAGCAGCCGCGGUAAUACGUAGGUGGCAAGCGUUGUCCGGAUUUAUUGGGCGUAAAGCGAGCGCAAGCGGUUUCUUAAGUCUGAUGUGAAAGCCCCCGGCUCAACCGGGGAGGGUCAUUGGAAACUGGGAGACUUGAGUGCAGAAGAGGAGAGUGGAAUUCCAUGUGUAGCGGUGAAAUGCGUAGAUAUAUGGAGGAACACCAGUGGCGAAGGCGG
Molecule: ribosomal RNA, 301 nt
Filed under: Enterococcus faecium
Lineage: Bacteria; Bacillati; Bacillota; Bacilli; Lactobacillales; Enterococcaceae
Description: bacterial SSU rRNA
Rfam family: Bacterial small subunit ribosomal RNA
Source: RNAcentral